RNAcentral lists this long non-coding RNA (651 nucleotides) under Ursus maritimus (polar bear). RNAcentral describes it as "lncRNA (ENSUMAG00000014540.1)". The record is from RNAcentral. Lineage: Eukaryota; Metazoa; Chordata; Mammalia; Carnivora; Ursidae.
GGAAAUCCCAAAAUAGCGACAAGCCCUCUGCACGCAGGACAAAGCCAGGAUGAGUCACGCUCCGUGUCAGCGUGGCACUCUCUGCUGCUUCAGAAAACCACUCAGGCUGUUUCCGUUCCACUUGACAAGAUGCGGCCGCAGACCACCCACUUCCCGCCUCAGGGGGCCUUGCCGGGGGUCCCGACGUGUCUGCUGUUACGCUCCCCAGAGCCCCCAGAUGCCCACCCCUCGCUGAUGUGCUUUAAGUGAGGGCUCGUCUGCGGGUAUCACGGGAUGGAGACCCAGGACCAGAAGACAGCAUGGCUCGUGUACAGAACACCGUACUGAAAGUCGGGGUGAGCCGGCCUCCCAGGCGAGGGCCAGCCACGCGGAAGCUGCAGGGGCAGAGUUUUUUCCUUCUAAUGAGGCAGUUAUUUUUCUCUGGAAGAAGACUGGGGCCGUUGGCACAGAAAACCUGAGCUCUCCCUGCAGAAUAUCCACACAGUUUCCAGUUUUGAAGCUAAAAAUGUACCAGAACAUAGAGCAAUGUUCCAACGCCCAACACCUCCUAAGAGCCACUCUGGUCGACUUCUUUUCUCCCGUGGGCUUUCCUCGCCACUCUGCCUGGUGGGGGCUCGUCCUCUGGUUUUUGUUAAUAAAGCUUUAUUGGCA